GCCGGGCGUGGUGGCACACGCCUGUAAUCCCAGCUACUUGGGAAGCUGAGGCAGGAGAAUCGCUUGAACCCAGGAGGCAGAGGUUGCAGUGAGCAUAGAUCACACCACUGCACGGCAGCCUGGGUGACAGAGCGAGACCCUGUCUCAA
This 148-nucleotide small RNA is filed under the name Macaca mulatta (Rhesus monkey). Its description in RNAcentral is "Metazoan signal recognition particle RNA (ENSMMUG00000054562.1)". The record is from Rfam by way of RNAcentral. Lineage: Eukaryota; Metazoa; Chordata; Mammalia; Primates; Cercopithecidae.